UAUAGCGAAAGCUAAUUGUAUUAGCCAUUUGGUUGAUACAAUAUCGACUAUGUCGACUAAAGUUCUAGGUAGAGUUAUGAUAAUGACAUUUUCUACCUAUAUGUCUUGACCAAGUCACGUGCCAGCAGUCGCGGUAAUACGUGGAAGACUAGUGUUAUUCAUCUUUAAUAGGUUUAAAGGGUACCUAGACGGUAUAUCUAGCCCAAAAAGGGUACUGAUAANCUAGAGUUUAAUGUGAGGGGGGAUUAGUACUAAUGGAGUAGAGAUGAAAUUCUGUCAUACCAUAAGGAGACAGGUAACGGCGAAAGCAACCCUUUAUGCAAUAACUGACGUUGAAGGACGAAGGCUUGGGUCACAAACAGGAUUAGAUACCCCAGUAGUCUUAGCAGACAACGCUGAAUGCCAUAGAUUAGAUUAGAUUUCUUCUAUAAAUGAAAGUGUAAGCAUUCCACCUCAAGAGUAAUUUGGCAACAUAGAAACUGAAAUCAUUAGACCGUUUCUGAAACCAGUAGUGGAGUAUGUUGUUCAAUUAGAUGUUCCGCAAAAAACCUUACCACAAUUUGAAUAUUUUUAUUUUUAUAAUUUUACAAGCGCUGCACGGCUGUCUUCAGUUAAUGUCGUGAGAUUUUGGUUAGUUCCAUUUAAUUAACGUAAACCCUUACUUUAUUUUUUUAUAAAGUAGUUCACCGCUAUAUUGGAUAUGAUAGAAGGGACUA
This 716-nucleotide ribosomal RNA is filed under the name Leotiomycetes sp. RNAcentral describes it as "SSU rRNA". It matches the Rfam family "Bacterial small subunit ribosomal RNA", at positions 371 to 1182 of the family's 1533-position model. The record is from RNAcentral. Lineage: Eukaryota; Fungi; Ascomycota; Leotiomycetes.